RNAcentral lists this ribosomal RNA (621 nucleotides) under Triticum aestivum (bread wheat). RNAcentral describes it as "partial small subunit ribosomal RNA". The record is from RNAcentral. Lineage: Eukaryota; Viridiplantae; Streptophyta; Magnoliopsida; Poales; Poaceae.
AUGGAUUGGAUUGCUUAUGGCGAGCACGGGUGGUGGUUCACCGGGGUAUAUGGCCCUCAGGAGGAGGAAAGCAAGGUUGAAUUCAUUCAGGAGCUACGAGAUGUCAGAGAGUUGCAUGCUGGCCCCUGGAUGGUGGCCGGGGAUUUCAAUGUCAUCAAAGAUCCAACAGAGAAGAGCAACAACAGGAUUAACCGCCGCAGGAUGGGAAGAUUCCGACGAUGUAUUAAUGACCUUGAGCUCAUCGACCUCUAUCUCAACGGCAGGAGGUACACAUGGUCCAAUGAGCAGAAUGCGCCAAUGUUGGAGAAGCUGGACAGGGUGCUCGUCUCGAUGGACUUGGAGCAGGCACACCCAUCGUCACUCCUCUCGGUCCUCAGCACUAGCGUCUCCAGCCAUUGUCAUCUACACCUAGUUCUUGAUCCGGACUUGCAAAGAGGGAGGCGUUUUCAUUUUGAAGCCUCCUGGACUAAAGUAGAUGGUUUCCAGGAGGUGGUUCGGCAGGCAUGGAUGGCUCCACAAGUGAUGCAAAAUCCAUUCAAGAGGCUUGCAGCCAAGCUUAAGGCCACGGCUAAGGCGUUGUCGAGCUGGAGCGAUCGCUAUAUUGGUAGCAUAAAACAGUAG